AAUACGGCUUCCUGUUUUGCGCAGGCGCAGUCCGCUUUCUUUUCCUUGGCGGCUUUCCUUCGCCCAAGAUGUCGGCGCUGGGGGCUGCGGUGGGAUCCGUUGCCAUCCUCGGCAACGCUGCCUUGGGAGGCGCCGUGGGACCUCCACGAUUGUCCCGCUGCAUGUUCCUCUGACAAUCAUACCAACACAGACCUCAUGGAAAUUCAACUAUUAAGAUGCAAACACAGCAGAAUCUUUAUAAUAGGAAGAUGAAGUCUCUGUCGGCCACUUUUUUUGAUAUUUUUACCCAAUGGCUGCAAGUGCCCCUGACAAUCAUACUGUCACAGACCGUCAUGAAGAUAUAACUAUGAUGAUGCAAACACCACAGAAUCGUUUUAACAGGAAGAUGAAGUCUAUGGCAACCAAAUAGUUCUGAUUUGUUUACACAGUGAUAAAAGAUGCUCAACCUGUAGUAGCUUAUUCCUUUAUAAAGCUAAACAUACACAGAAAGUACAAAAGAAAAGACUGAUUGAGCAGAAAAAUAACAUCAACGCAACCUGUUACUUAAUGUCCCGGCUUAGCGGUGGAAAGAGACAUGGACAGGAAGUAGACCAACAUCGUGAGGUAUCACUUCCUACACAGCAGUGGAACGCUGGAGGGAUUUCUGUUUCUCCUGUCGCGCAAAAUCUCUAAGGAGUUUGAGGAUUGCAAAUUGCUCAUCCAUUCUCUAGUGCUCAUUUUAACCAGAAGGGCAUGCAAGUAUGGAGCCAUCCCAAGUCCGUUUCUCCACUGGAUUUAACAAUAAAGCAAAGUAGUCAAAAUGUGCAGUCUUUUAUUUCAGCACACAGUUUGUUUUUUUAAAAAAUAGAGUGCAUUGCAGUAGUCUAUUUGAGAUGUGACAAGAGCGUGGACCACUGUGGCCAACUCUGGCUUCUCAAGGUACAGGCACAACUGGCACACAAAUUUUAAUUGUGUGAAAGCUCCCCUGGCCACCGCUGAAACCUGGGGUUCUAGGCUCAGUGAUGAGUCCAAGAUCACUCCCAAGCUGUGAACCUGCAUCUUCAGAGGUAGUGUAACCCCCUCCAGCACCAGCUGUAAUCCUAUACCCUGUUUGACCUUCUGACUGACCAGGAAAAGUCUAUAACCUUGCCCCUACCUUAUUUUCCAUCUUCAUUGCUAUGAUACUUCACCUUGGUUGGAAGCUUUCCACCAGAGUGGAAAUCAUCUAUCGGACCGAUGGCAAGCUAUUUAACCUCAGCAGACUGAAAGCCAAAACCAAGGUCACCACAACAGCUAUUGUAUAACUCCAAUAUGCUGAUGACAACAUAGUCUGUGCGCACUCAGAAGAAGACCUACAAGCCACUCUAAACACCUUUGCAGAAGCAUACAAGAAGCUCGGCCUCUCAUUGAACAUUGAGAAAACCAAAGUGCUCUUCCAACAGGCACCAGCUAACCCCUCUGCAAUGCCAGGAAUACAGCUUAAUGAUGUCACAUGAGAAAACGUUGACCAUUACCGCUACCUUGGCAGCCACCUCUCCACAAAAGUUAACAUUGAGACUGAAAUACAACACCGCCUGAGCUCUGCAAGUGCAGCAUUUUCCCAAAUGAAGCAGAGAGUGUUUGAUGAUCAGGACAUUCGCGAAGAUACCAAGGUGCUUGUUUACAAAGCCAUUGUCCUCCCAACCCUGCUCUACGCCUGCGAAACGUGGACGGUCUACAGACAUCACACUCAACUCCCGGAGCGUUUCCAUCAGCGUUGCCUCAGAAAAAACCUUCAAAUCUUUUGGGAAGACAGGCGGACAAAUGUCAGUGUGCUUGAGGAAGCAAAGACCACCAGCAUUGAAGUGAUGCUCCUACGCCAUCAACUCUGCUGGACUGGCCACGUUGUCCGAAUGCCCGAUCACCGUCUCCCAAAACAGUUACUCUACUCAGAACUCAAGAAUGGGAAACGUAAUGUUGGUGGACAGGAAAAGAGAUUUAAAGAUGGGCUUAAAGCCAACCUUAAAAACUGUGGCAUAGACACAACUGAGAAGCCCUGGCCCUUGAGCACUUUAAUUGGAGGUCAGCUGUGACCAGCAGUGCUGCGGAGUUCGAAGAGGCACGAAUGGAGGGCUUAAGGGAGAAACCUGCCAAGAGGAAGGCCCGUCAAGCCAACCCUGACCGGGACCGCCUUCCCCCUGGAAACCAAUGUCCUCACUGCAGGAGAACAUGCAGAUAAAAAAUAGGUCUCUUCAGCCACCUACAGACACACCCCCAAGAACCCACAGAUGGAAGACAAUCAUCCUCGAACUACGAGGGAUCGCCUAAGUAAGUAAUCUUGUAGUUUGCUACAAACCCCUUGUAAGGUGGAAGGUGUUGCUCACAGAGUGAGGUGACGUGACUGACAAUCUUGCUAUUGAUUAAAACUUGUCUUACUGGAAAGAGGUUGCAGAUUUUGCUUUCUCAAGAGUUUGGGAGUAAGGUAUUACAAGGCCAUAAUGUAGUGCCCUGUGAUGUGUUGCUUUUCCCAGGGUAAUGACUCCUGCCAUCUGAAACAAGGUAGUGCAUUUUAGUGGGACAUCAUCUUGCUUCUACAAUGGAAUUUGGGUUGAUGUCCAGUUCCCUCCCACUUUGUCCUUUUUGAAGAUUGAGAAAACAUUUACACUCUUAAAGUUUGCAAACACACCACUUGCUCUUUAGCCUCCAAGGGUGCCUGGGGAAUUGAAAGAGAAACCUUUAAGAGAAAUGGUCAUAGAAGGGGCUUGGGAUUUGUGGGCUUGUUUACCGACACAGAAGAGAAAAAGGCUGUGUUCAAAGCUGUUUCAGCACAGGAUCACUGUAUGUCACAUGGACAGUUUGGGUGCAUCCCAAUGUAUGUACUCUAUGGCCAUACUGGAGCCAUUCUGGUCAGGAAAACAUGGAGCUGUGCCUCCUUGUAAUGGUAUACAAGGCAGGUUGUAGUGCUAACAGUUAAAUGGACAUGUAAGGAGUUUGCAUAAGGAAAAAAGGUAUACUUCCUCAUUCAAACUUACAAUAACCACAGCUGGGGCAAUGAAGCAUUACACUAUCUUAGUGUCAUCUGUUGUGUUGGUUGGGAGGAUACACUUCUGGUAGCUACAUUCCAAAAAUUUAACUUUUCGAGCCUUUGGAGGUGGCUCAUUUCCCUGUUCCUGUCAGAAGAUCUGUGUUGAUGUGUGUCGGCAACAACAUGAUGAAAUUAAGUGCCAUCUGCUUAAAACGUUGAAAGACAAUUCAGCACAGAAUGACCCUCCACUUAUCCACGGAUCAACUUAUCAGAAUCCAUAAUGCUAUCCCCCAAACCAACCUCCAACUUAUACAUAAGGUUGACUUAUAUAUGAGUUUAAUCAGUAUAUACAAAUUUGAAGAAGCCAAACAUGAAAGGACUUGUUGAAAUCGCUCCUUACUACCAGAUUACACUACCCAGGAUCAGUAGCAACAACAGCACACAGUGAAAGGGGCAGGAAAUGGUGCUACAGAAGAAAGAGGAAGAACAAGACUAGACAGGACUUGGUACUACUGGUUCUUAUACGGCAUGUGUACCCGCACUAAAUCUUCUGUAUGAUCAAGAGUUUACUGUAACUUACUUUUUUGGACUACAACUCCUAGAAACCCCAAGAGAUUCAGACAGCUGCAACUAAAAAAUAAAAAACCUUUUCAAAAAACCUGUAGUGACUAUCUGAAGGACUGUAAUUUCCUAUAUAAGGUGAUCCAUGUUUUGUUAGUAUCUAAAGUCUGGGAUGUGGAGAUUUGUAAAAGGCACCAUGAUGUGGUGGGUUGAUUGGAAAGGCAUGUGUUGGCAGCUGAUUGGCUAAGCCAGCCAGGAGCCAGAAUUCUGAUUAGCGACUGUCUCUGGCUUGCUGCUGAGAAAAACAGUUUUAACUGUCACCUUUCAACUCGGAGAGUGAAGAGAGCGUUUAAAGUUUUUAACUUGUUCCAUAUCUCUAUCCUGCUUAGAACAAAGAAGUAUAGUGGCCUCCGUCCAUGAAUCUGGGAUCUCUCCUUUCUGCAUAAUGUGAUCCAUUACAGAUAGCAGUAGCGGGCCCAGUUCUUCCUUGUAUGACUUAUAAUACCAAGCAGAAAGUCCACCUGGAUCUGGGGCUUUAUUAAUUUUGGUUUUGUCGAUAGUCUUAAAUAACUCCUCCUGUGCAAUUAUAUGCCCUUGCCCCUAGCGAAUGAGAAUAGACAAGCUACAACACUAAUUCGCCAGAGACAUCAAAAUGUCAGCAGUGUGCCCUGCCUGGAAUGAGGGGUGUGAGAUGUAACUUGGAUUUGGAAGAUUUAUGUCUUCCAAGCUAGUAAUCAGAAGGCGAGGCAGGAGGCUAGCAUUCCUCUUUCUAUGAAUUAUGGAAAGAAUAAGCUGUUCUUCCAUAAAGUAGCACCCUCUACCAAGCUGUAAAUGGGAGAUUUCAAUGAAUGAAUAAAAUGAAAGGUUCAAAAUAGGCUUCUAUGAACACCAAGAGUUUUAAGAAGUAUACUCAUUAACAGUAUAGCUUGAGUACACAGUAUCUAAAGUGCUUGAUAUCUGAAGCAUUUUGGAUUUCAGGGUAGGUGUGGGGGUUGUGGUUUUUGUAUGUUUGUUUGUUUUUAUUUUGAAAUAUUUGCAUGUGCAUAAUGAGAUAUUUUGGCCAUGGGACUCAAGAAAAAACAAGAAAUUCAUUUAAGUAACAUCUAACCUUAUUAUACAUAUAGGCUGAAGACAAUUUUAUCCAAACUCCCAAAUAAUUUUUUGCAUUAAACAAGGUUUGUGUAAAUUGAACUAUCAGAAAGCAAAGAUGUCACUACCUCAAUCACUCGAAUAGACAAUUUUGGAUUUUGGAGUAAUUCAGAUUUUAAAAUUCCGCUCAACCUGCACAAACUCAAAUGCCAAGUUUCCAUCACGGAUGCAUUUUUUCUAGCUGUGUAAAAUAUCCUGCCUGUUACUAAAUGACUGCCAGGUUGACGUCAAAAACAGUCACAUAGAGUGAACAGAUAACACCUGUCAUUUGGCUGAUGAGUUGAAUGCCAAAUUUUAAAAUCCAAUUUUGAGAGCCAAAUAUCUAUUUAUAAAGUCUAAUCUGGGUAGUAUUUGAAUUUGGAUAUUGGCAAUCAAUACAUUAGAAUCUAAAUGCCUAACAGUAGAGUCCAGCUAGGCAGAUUCAGACAUAUGUUUUGAACAUUAUGUUCAUUUGAGCCACAUCUGACAACUUGAUGCAACAAAUAUAAGAUAUUUUUUAAAACUUAUUUUUACUUACCGUAACUUUUAAAAAGCUGUUUUAUUGCUAUUGGAGCCCACAAAGUAGUUUAAAAUAAACAAUGAAGAAUGUUUGGUUCUAUAAUUUCUAACCUUUAAAGCAGGGGUCCCCAAACUCAGGCCUGUGGGCCAGAUGUGGCCCUCCAAGGUCAUGUACCUCCUAGCUCCCCACCCUAAACUUCAGACAUAGGGUCGCCCUAAGUCUGAAACAGCUUGAAGGCUCAAAACAACAACAAUCCUAAUUAACUUGACUAUGUCAUCAGCCAAAAGCAGGCCCACACUUCUCAUUGAAAUACUAGUAAGUUUAUGUUGGUUAAAAUUGUCCUUCAUUUUAAAUAUUGUAUUGUUCUGAUGUAUUUUCUUGUACUAUACAUUAGAUAUGUCCAGUACACAUAGGAAUUCGUUUGUGUUUUUUUCUCUCUCAAACUAUACUCUGACUCCACAACAGUCUGAAGGACAUGAACUGGCCCUUGGCUUAAGGGGUUUGAGGGCCCCUGCUUUAAAAGGAUCUCAAUAAUCCCUUCCCCCUCACGCUGGAAGAUUGUGCUUUCAACACAAUGUUCCUGUUAUCUGAUUUGUUUUGUAUGCACUGCAAUAUAUAUCUAUAUGUAUAUCAAAUUUAUACAUUGAUUUGAGAGAGCUUUGUACAGAUUUCUCAAAUGAUAUAAAAUAAAUGUUCCACCAGCUUGUC
Long non-coding RNA from Anolis carolinensis (green anole), 5900 nucleotides. RefSeq lists it as uncharacterized. NCBI's taxonomy places the organism in Eukaryota, Metazoa, Chordata, Lepidosauria, Squamata, Anolidae. The record is from RefSeq and is a predicted model, not a curated record. The transcript is spliced from 7 exons.